Molecule: long non-coding RNA, 600 nt
Filed under: Zea mays
Lineage: Eukaryota; Viridiplantae; Streptophyta; Magnoliopsida; Poales; Poaceae
Description: long non-coding RNA (ZMAY_LNC005709)
Source: RNAcentral
GAUUUACAUACUAUUUUUUCGAUGCACAACUUAUAACACACUCUUCUACUUGCUUCGAUAUAACAUAAAUGUAGUAUAUAACUAUCUAUCUCAUAUGAUUUAGGAUAAUAUUCAAAUAUAUUACAUAUAUAAAUAAAUGAACUUAAUUAGUUUUAUCUAAAUUAUAAUUUUUAAAAUGGAAUUCAAUUCUAACGAAACAAACGGGGCCUUAUAGAUUAUGGGAUGCUACUUAAAACAUGCACGGUAAGGUACUGCAGACACAAUACAGUUACUUUCUUACAUAAAAGACAUCAACCGAGCCCAGAAAGCAAACGCAGCGGCAACUACCACCGCGGCAACACACCUAACCGUACUACUAUUGUACUCCUGCAAGAAGAGGAGACGAGUGCACGUCGCAUCGCUCGCCUAGGAGCUGGUGAACUUGGUGACGGCUUUGGUGCCCUCGGAGACGGCGUGCUUGGCGAGCUCGCCGGGGAGGACGAGGCGAACGGAGGUCUGGAUCUCGCGGGACGUAAUGGUAGGCUUCUUGUUGUACCGCGCCAGCUUGGCCGCCUCCGCCGCCAGCUUCUCGAAGAUGUCGUUGAUGAAGGAGUUCAUGAU